AAACAGAAGGAGGUGCCCCCAUUGCUUUUCAAAGCGCACACAUGGCCUCGGACCAAGUUAUUUCUAAGGGUUUCUGCGGAGGAAGCCGGACGAGCAAAUUCCUUGACCAUAGGACAAGUCUCAGGAUUGGGGGAUAUUCGUCUUGCCCCUUUGCAUUUCAGAAAGGACCUCGCAAAUUGUAAGGUUCGAGGCUGGAACGUCUCAAAGAAGUACUAGAGAAGACUCUGAAAGCAAACUUCUUUCAGCUUAACAGAAAAACCGACCAAACUCGAGGAGAGAGCUUGUAAGGAAAUCGGACGGAAACAAGCGGGAGAAGGUGGUGAUAAAGGAGGUCUUCACAGAGCGCCUGCUGCAUGCCAGGUACUGCCACUGGGGUCUGGCCUCAUGGUCCAAUAACCGAACAGAAAAGGCACACAUCAAACAAAUAAGCCGGGAAACGUGGAAGACAGGAAAAAAGAACAAAGGGCGAGCAAAAUCACCCCUAAUCCCACAUCCCUGACGACACUGUGGGGUUUGUCCUUCCAGCUGUGGGAGUCCAAUUUCUUUCUUUCAUUUCUAAUGCUUUCCCUUUAU
Molecule: long non-coding RNA, 573 nt
Organism: Neofelis nebulosa (Clouded leopard)
Lineage: Eukaryota; Metazoa; Chordata; Mammalia; Carnivora; Felidae
Exons: 2
Source: RefSeq, a predicted model, not a curated record